AUCCAUGUAACGCAAUGAAUAGCGCGUGUUGGACUUCUUAUCCAAAGGUCGUGGGUUCGAAUCCCACCUGGGAUG
RNAcentral lists this transfer RNA (75 nucleotides) under Trichonephila clavata. It matches the Rfam family "tRNA". Rfam says of the family: Transfer RNA (tRNA) molecules are approximately 80 nucleotides in length. Their secondary structure includes four short double-helical elements and three loops (D, anti-codon, and T loops). Further hydrogen bonds mediate the characteristic L-shaped molecular structure. tRNAs have two regions of fundamental functional importance: the anti-codon, which is responsible for specific mRNA codon recognition, and the 3' end, to which the tRNAs corresponding amino acid is attached (by aminoacyl-tRNA synthetases). tRNAs cope with the degeneracy of the genetic code in two manners: having more than one tRNA (with a specific anti-codon) for a particular amino acid; and 'wobble' base-pairing, i.e. permitting non-standard base-pairing at the 3rd anti-codon position. The record is from Rfam by way of RNAcentral. Lineage: Eukaryota; Metazoa; Arthropoda; Arachnida; Araneae; Nephilidae.